This 435-nucleotide long non-coding RNA is filed under the name Arachis ipaensis. RNAcentral's name for it is "long non-coding RNA (AIPA_LNC002320)". The record is from RNAcentral. Lineage: Eukaryota; Viridiplantae; Streptophyta; Magnoliopsida; Fabales; Fabaceae.
ACCGGUGGUGGUGGUGGUGGUGAUGAGUACUUGUAGGGUUUCUUUGGUGGUGGUGGAGGAGAUGAGUAAUGGUAUGGCGGCGGCGGUGGUGAUGAGUAAUGGUAAGGCUUCUUUGGUGGUGGAGGUGGAGAAUGGUAGUAGUAAGGCUUCUUAGGUGGUGGAGGAGGAGAAUGGUAGUAAUAUGGUGGUGGUGGUGAAGACACCGGCGGAGGUGGAGAAUGGUAGUAGUAGGGUGGUGGAGGUGAAGACACCGGUGGUGGUGGAGAAUGAUAGUAGUAAGGCUUCUUAGGGGGUGGUGGUGGAGAGUGAUAGUAGUAAGGUGCCUUCUUAGGCGGCGGAGGAGGGGAGGAGUAAUGGUACGGCGGAGACUUGGGUGGUGGGGGUGAUGAGUAGAGGUAGUUAUCAGCGGAGAUUUGCAAGCUUAGAGAAGAAAGC